UGAUGAAACUGACAAAGGCGAGAGCGCGCAGCAGCCCACAGCAGCCGAGUUCGCGCCGCCGGUAGGUGCUGCCAUGCCAGGGGGCGGGAUCGUGGAGCGCCUCGCAGAACCGCACGAAAGCAAAAACAAAGCCAUCUCUCCGGAGCAGAAAUAGAACAGACGUGGCCGGGGAAAGCCAAAUAUUUGGAGUUUUUGCAACCCCCACAACACAGGUUGAUUGGAAAGGUCUCUCUCCCGGAUAACAACAAUUCAAUGUGCCUUGACAUUUUAAUAGCCUGCCGUCCUGGUGAACACAAUCGAGCAAGGCAGUGAAGCAAACAUCAUUAGGUGGCUGGACUCAGACACAUCACGCUCCAGUUUGGGUUCCAAGGUGCUUCUCUCUGGAUUUUCACCUGCCUUGCCAAAAAUGAUUGAUUACGCUGGGCCAACUGGGUGUCCGGCAAUACCCAACAAAUGACUUUGGCCCCUAACAGCAGGUCUUGGCCAGACAGAAAUCAAUAUUUCACCAUUAAAAUCUAUCAAAGAAGAGUUAAGGCACCAUCUGUCCCUGCCGCCUCUCUAUGGUGUGUGAACAUUAAAUCCGACACUUGUACUACAUGGGUAAUCAAUAUAUAGUGGUUCACAGAUCAUUUGUGGUUCCCUUUUAGCAGUGAUGGAUGUCUGGAAUCGUUGUGAUUCAUUUUGUCAGACCAUUAAACAAGAUUCUGUCCAGUU
RNAcentral lists this long non-coding RNA (714 nucleotides) under Homo sapiens (human). Its description in RNAcentral is "HSALNT0305366". Lineage: Eukaryota; Metazoa; Chordata; Mammalia; Primates; Hominidae. The record is from RNAcentral.